Prunus avium (sweet cherry) is the source of this 782-nucleotide non-coding RNA. The record is from RefSeq and is a predicted model, not a curated record. Lineage: Eukaryota; Viridiplantae; Streptophyta; Magnoliopsida; Rosales; Rosaceae.
CAUCCUAGCUAGAUCAGAUUCUCUGUUGAUUUCUUCAAGAGGAUGGUUUCUUGAAGAAAUUGACCAUUUCAUUUUAGAAUCUAUAUUUCAUUCAUCGGUGACGAUCCGGAGCUGAGUUGCAGUGCCAUUGGGUGAAGAAGCUGAUGGAUUAGCUGCCAUUUCCAUGAAGGACAAGCUACUAUCUCAACUAAGUUUAGAGAAGAAGGUUGCACAGGGAGGAAGAAAAUCGGAGGAGGAAAUCGAUCUUUAAGUAAUGCACCUAGACGACAUUGGAGGCUAGAUGGAAGAAAGGAAUAAUAUUGAGGUGAUUGUCAUGUGCCAUUCUAUCCUCUGUUCACAUGCAUUUUCCUCCAUGAGAGAAGCCUUUCCUUUUCAGCGUUUUCAACUCAUAUAUAAAAGCACUAGUACUUAGUAGAUUCUGGUAUAUACAAUCAAUCGCGGCACAUAAUAACAGAAGGCUUGAAAUUAAUUACCUGGCCCACACUUAUUCUCAAGGAGAUCUAUCAGAUUGCCUCAGGGCUGAUCAUAACCUCAUAUGUGCUGUGGCUACUUGCUAAGACCUGCUUCUGGAAUGUAUGCUUUUGCAUCCAAGAAAAUGCUGAAAGGGACAAGUUGGGAUAUGAAAGGGAACGAAGGGUUGAGACUUGUGAGAGCUUAUGGCCACAAACCACUCACUUCACUUUUGUUCUCUCCAGUGACUGCAAUCCUGACCAGGUUCAAUUUUCAAAACUUCAACUCUGCCAUUUUUUUUUUCUCUACUGGUCCUCCCAUUCUGAUGAAGC